Molecule: long non-coding RNA, 1071 nt
Organism: Galeopterus variegatus (Sunda flying lemur)
Lineage: Eukaryota; Metazoa; Chordata; Mammalia; Dermoptera; Cynocephalidae
Exons: 2
Source: RefSeq, a predicted model, not a curated record
AAAGUAGGAUGCACACUAAUAUGCAAUAACAGGCAGUUUAAAAUGAUUUAUUUUAUAAAUUUCUGUGAUUUACAUUUCAGCAUUUCAUCAAUUGCAAAAGUAAGUAAAUAAUUCAUGGGCUGUAGCACUUUUGAAAAUAAUAUUUAUGAUUCAUAAAAAUGUACAUUCAUAUAGUAUGAAAUGAACAUAUUUUAAGAAAAUUCAAGCGUAUACAAGCAUUGUUUAAUCUCACAAAAUAUAUUAAUUUUGUUGGGAAUAUUUGCUACAAAAGGGUCUUGAAUUUACUGAAGGAUUCAACACUAAGCUAUUUUUUAAGUUGUAAUUACUUUUUCCAGUCUAAAGAGGGUUAAGACUCAUGGCCUACAACUAUAUGGAUGAUGAGACAUGGCCUUCUAGAGGGAUGUUCUUGAGAAGAUGCUUUAGUUGUCUAUUACAGAAGACUUCUGAACGGAAUCCAGUCAAAUAUAAACGAAACUUAAAUAUGAGGGUCAGUCCUCAUUGGCAUACAGCUUUUUUUUCCCCCCUUAAACACUCAUUCACUCUGGAAAACAUGUUAUAAUGAUGAAUAGUUGCUAUGAAUCUUUCAAAGAGCUUGGAAGAGUCCCUAUAAUUAUUUCCUGAACAGUGGAAUUCUCUUAUGGAGAAAUCUUCCAGUGAAGGAAAAGAUGAAUUAAAAACACUUGUAUUUAACUUAGGUCAAUAUAUUUUUCAAGGCAAGAGGCAAGUUGCUUUUCCCCCGGUUUGAGGCUAUGAGAAAGUGGUGGCUACAUGCUUUAGUGUUCAGCCAGAGAACACACACUGUCAUUUCCGGGAGGAUGAACGGCAGUACAGCUGGACUCUAGCCUUAUAGAGUUAAACCUAUUUCUUUCUUCCCAAUCCUACCUCUUUCAUUCUUCCCAGACUUCCAGCUGACCGGAUGUAUAUUUAAGUUAUUUGCAUGGCUAAGUAAAACAUUCCAACUUAUAUUUUCAAGGUUUUUAAGUAGUUGUUCCUUUAAGACAAAACAGUAAAUCAAAUUAUUAGAACUUAAAAUGCAGUGCUAAUUUUAUUUCUAUUUUUGGUUGUUAAAAU